GGAAACUGGAAUUCAAUUUGCUUGGUGAGAAGCCCUCUAGCAGGGGCUCUGGCCUUUCAAGAGUCUCUGUUUCCCCCUUUUCUUCCUUUUCACCCAAUAAAACCCUGUCUUACUCAUCAUUCAAAUUGUCUGCGAGCCUGAAUUUUCAUAGCCGUGGGAAAAAGAACGCCAUCUUUAGCCGAACUAAGGAAAAGUCCUGCAACAUUUUUAGCGCCCAACGUGGAGGUCGAGAAACGGCCGUCAAACUCCAAAUGGUGAUGCAACUGGAACCUCUGAUGAUGGCCCCUUCUGCCGGGAACCCUUAAAUAGGCCUCUGAUGGAGCCCUGACUGCCAUUUCCCCCAAACAGCACCACCUAUCAGCAGGAAUCAGUUAAGAUCAGUCCUCGUCUUAUCCUUCAUCUAAUGGCAGUUAGAUGUGCCUCUUUAGAGGAGGGAAUGAACUCUGUCCUUGUAAGAGUCCCUGUUUCCCCCUUUUCUUCCUUUUCACACAAUAAAACCCUGUCUUACUCACCAUUCAAAA
Molecule: long non-coding RNA, 521 nt
Organism: Homo sapiens (human)
Lineage: Eukaryota; Metazoa; Chordata; Mammalia; Primates; Hominidae
Source: Ensembl